AAGAAAUCAAGUCUUGAAAUGAGGGCAAAGUCAUAAUUUAAUACAUGUAACAUUUGUAACAGAAAAGAAAGUUGUUUUUUUGCAUGUUCUGAUUUUUUAGCCAAAUCUACGUCUACGUUCUGAUAUAUCUGAUCGUGUCCUUCUCACCCUCGAGCACGAACUGCUUCAUCUCGAUCUCGUAGAACUUGUUGGUGCCGAUGAUGAUGCUGUAGCUGGUCAGAUGGAUGCAGCUGCAGGGCUCCAAGAUCCCACUCGCCUUGCGAAUGCAGUAUUUGUUGAGAUUUUCGUUGUAGCGCAGAAUAGUUAUCUUGUUGGGCAUUGCUGCACAUAUACAAGGCCCGUUGUCGAUCUACAAAAAGGAAACACACACGUCACUUUCUUAAGCACACACAAGUCCUAGAAAGCGCUUUUAAAGUCAGGAGCUUUUAUCUCCGGUUUCAAGGAGGAGCAGAAGAAACCUACUCUCCCCGCGGCAAACAGAUGGCAGCCCUUCACCGUCUCGAAGAUGUAAGGAGCCAGUUCGGACUGGCUGGGCAGGUGCGACUGGGCCAGAGACUGCUUCACUCGCUUAAUCUCCACCAGACACAAGGCCCGCUCGUCCCCUGCAGCGCACACAGGCAGGCGUCACACGGCAGCUGAUGUUCCAGCGCCGUCCACGUGGGAAAAAACAUCUCCAAGUCUCACCAGAAAUAUUAGAUGGCAGUUUUUUAAUCUUUCUUUAUGAUGAGCUUCAAUUAUGCCAAUUACUUUCAAUGGCUUUUUGAUUUAUGAACAACACUCCCCGAAUGAAAUGAACUGAACGUCUAGACUCAGAUCGUUGCUGCUCAGGAGAAAGUUCUCAUCUCUUGUCGAUAACAAAGCUGAACAUCUCACCAACGAUCAUCAGCAGUUUCUCCUGCUCUUUGAUGAUGUGGAUCUGAAAGACUGAUCCCAGGCCAGGGAUGUGAGUUAGAGAGUUCUUGAUAACAUUCAGGGCAUACAGACCCUCUUCAGAGCCCACCAUAACUAUCUGCAGCACAGCAAGAAAACAUCAUUAACAUGAGCAGAAUUAUUUCGGUGAACAUGGUGCCAUUUCAAACAGGAGCAGCAUGUUGCAGACCUUGGCAGAGAGCCUCGAGCAUCUGCUCUGUGCUCCGUGUCCCUUCAUAAAUUAACAUCAUUCUAAAUAACUGCUACUGUGGAUUAAAUAUGAAUACGAUAAAAUGCCUUUAAAGAAAGUAGUUUUAUUAUUUAGGCAACAAGACGAAGAAUAUGUUUACCGGAUGUUUUCACUAAGCUCCAAUAAUUGUGAUUUAAUAUAAUGUCAUGCAUGCCGGUACCUGAUCGGUGAGGGGGAGGGUGCAGUUUAUGUCCAGCCUAUCGUCUCCCUCCAGCUUCAGGAGAGAGUUCCCCAGCAGCUUCUGCAAAAAGCACAGAGAGGUGAGGGGUCAGCGGGGUCACGACCUCAACGUGACCCUGGGGGGGGGGUGACAGCAUAGGAGCAGAACGGUGGGGGCAGCACGGUGUGCAGGGUUAAGGGAGGUCAGAGGUCACAAGUCGGUCUCUAGUUUUAAGUCCAGUCGCAAAGUGGGUGAAGUUAGUGCAUUGCACACUUUCAACAUUGCUCCCCAUUAGAUAAAGCUGUUACAUAAAAUACAAAUAUAGUAAAAAAUGAAGGGUUUAAUAUGACUAUAGUUGCAAUUUUUUCGCGCUUCGUCUGGCAUUUUUGUUGCUUCAUCUUGGAUGUGUGCUUACUAUCUAGUCGCAAGGUUUUAUAGAGGUAAUCCACUCUACACAGUGUAACAUUUCUAUUCAGCAUCUUAAAAGUUGGCAAAAAGUUUAAGAAAAUGUUGGUUUCAGGUCAUUCGGAUAAAUGCCAAACACAACGCUAACUCCUACAACCCAUUAAAAGUCCAGUUGACAUUGCCCAGUUUGUCUCAGAUGAGUCAGUCGUGUGUCUUGAGUCUCCAUAGAGGGUGCAGAGGGAGCAGCGGGGGGGUUAAAAACACAGACGAGUGCAGCAGCAGGUGGAAACCCGCUCUCUGAUCCCUGGUCCUGCGGGAAGGACGCCUGAAGGGGAUCAAACAUCAGCCCAGAGAUGAUCAAACAUCUGGCUGAGAAGUUGCACUGUGGUUAUUAAACAGAACACCAAAGACUCGUUUCAGCGGCGUUGAAACUAUUGCAUGGACGCAGAGUCGCCACCGGACGUGACAGUGAAGCAGAGACGGGUGAGAGUGAGGAGUGAGUCGCAGCAGGUGAGGUGAGAGCAGGGAAGGGGGGGGGGGGGGGGUGACGGAUACAUGCUCUGCUGCGUGCCUCGCGAAGGAUCUGCAGGUGUGUGUGUGUCAAGUCGGUCGCAUAUCUGGAUCUGUGUAACUUUUUACCUGGACCAGAGGAGUCAGAACCAUUUGUCUUUUGGACACAGCAGCCUAUGUUUGCAAUGAAACCCAAUGGAACGGGCAGAAUAGAGGGAAAUCAACAAAAAGGCGCCCGUAUGCCGGACAUACAACGCGGCACGGUGAAAAAAAAAAAAAGUAACACACAGCAGUGAGAAAGACAAAGAGACAGAGGAGGGAAAGAGAAGAGGAGAGAAGAAGGAGACAAUUAACGACAGGUAUAAGUGACCCGGGUGGGUUGUUAAUUUAAAACUCCAAACCUAAAGCCCAGGUCUCUGACUUCAUUCUCCGCCGGCUCUCUCAAACAGGGAGACUACGGCUGGAUGGUGUCAACGGUGGCGGUUCAUGAAACGCACGGACAGACGUUAAGGACAACAGAGACACUCACUGCGUCGGCCUCGGCCUUCUCCCGCGAGGCUCGCGCCCCGGCCACCACGGACUCCAUCACGGCCACCCAGCGCUGUUUGUCGGGGAAACUGGGAGCCAUGAAGUAAAUCAGCUGUCCGGGCCAGCAGGGGGUGUGACAGCGGGACUCCAGCUUCAGGACGUAGGGAACAUCUGACGGACAGGUAUCACAGGUGAGGCUCAUGAUUAUGGACGACGUCGUGAAUGAGCCCUCGGGGGGGGGGUCACCGGUGCCAAACGUGGGGAACAAUAACCGGAAUACUGUGUGGAGACUCUUUAACACUUUGUGGAUUGUACCUGACUUGGCGGUGUUGGGCAGUUCCGAUGCUCCCACCGCCCCGUGAACAACCACCUCUCCGUCUGACAAACACAUGUCAAACUCCUCCAGUGGCUUCACUGAAUCUGAGUAAUACGCACAACGACAACAAAACAAACAUUAGAUAACUGAUGCCCUCUGUUGGGUUUCUGAAACGCUGCUGUCACACAGGCAAAAGAAGGAAACCUUCUCUGGGCUCAGUCUCGUAGAUGGAUACUUUGGUCCCAUCCAGGACCAUGUACCUCCUCUCCCAGCCCUGGCCUCGCUUCCCACUCCUGCAGACACACCAAGCAACUGCGUCACCACGAGAUGAUGUUUGGAAACCAAAACAAAUGCCUUUGUUUAAACUGGGUUUAGUAGCAGAUGGGUGGGCUUCGCCAGACAGAACCUUGCUAAAAAGCCUGGGUGCCAAUGAGGGAGCACGAAAGGGAAACUACUGUGUAUGAGGGUGCUCCCCUGGGCUCAAAUAUAAAAGAGCAGAGAGAGGAAAGCUGGAACAACGACAUGGUGGCGUCCAUUGCUGACCUGGGCUGCUUCAUCCAGCCCUCCAGGUGCAUGUGACCGCUGGCCUCCUUGACCUGCUGGCCCGGGGAGCUGCCUUUGUCCCGACACGGGCCCUCCGACAGAUGCAGCGAGCAGUCGCUGGACAUGCCACACGUGGCCGAGAGGCAGGGCGAGCAUUUCGGGUGGCACAGCGCGUGACAUUCUGAGGAGGAAGACAAACGUUGUCACACUGAGAAACAGCCAAGAAAUGGACCACGAAAAUGUGGCGUUCAGCAGCUGUCAUGCAAAGGUGUGCAAACGCAUUCACGAAACUUUCCAGGGGUGUAUUUGAAAUCAAAAUCAAGGUGGUGUUCAUUUGUAAAGAUUAUCUGGCUGAACAAACCGUAUUCACAACUAGUGUUUGUCACAGAGCUUAUUUCCUGCAAUAAUCCCAAAUCCUUUCUGUCAGGGGAACCGGUGCAGUAGUAACUUUGGGGUUGGUCUGCAGAAGUACAUAAACCCUGCAGCACUCUACACUUUUUUGAAAAAUAAAAGACUCAUAUUCUUGUCUCAGACACAAAAGUCCUGUGCUUUUUAAAAGGUUAAGAACAAUGGGAGUGGACAUCAGCCGCCACAGUUUCACACAUCAAACCAACCUCCUCCUUUUCUGUGUCAUAAUCUCCAUUCAUACAAUAGAAAACACGUAAUACAUAAUACAUACACAAGAACAAAUGACAGGCAGGCUGAAGUUUCAAAGGGUUUUUUUCUUUUUUUUUUUUCUACACAAAAUGGGUAACUCACCGAGACAAGUGGCAGCCUGGCGACCAAAGUGCACGGUAUCCAGGCACACGGUGCACUUGGCGGCCCUCAUGUUGAGUCCCACUGUGAAGCGGUGAGGGGUGUUGUUGUGGUGCACCGGCCUCUCUCUCUCCCUGUCUCUGUCUCUCUGACUGUCCUUCAAACGACGGCUAAACUCUGGACACAGCGAGGGGACACAGUGAGGGCCGGCGGCUCCAGCGCGCCUCGCUUCCCGCGUGUGCAUCACUUGAAAACCUCAGUGCGCCAUGCCGUACCCGCCGGGAAAUCAGGCUUCAACUUAAGACGGCUUCCAACAAAACUUUAAGCUGUUUGGCAAAAACGCAUAAGCAAGUAAACUCUGGAGACAAAGAUGGUUGAAAAGGACUAUUGAUUUGACAAUCCCUGGUGCUUGUACCCCCCUCACUGUUAAAGGCAUUAUCCAGCCAGUACCACAUUUGUGUCCUGUGCUGUGUUUGCACAUUUCUCAAUUUACUGCGAGUGUUGAUGUUAGCAACAUGUUUCAUACAAUCAAGAGAAUAAUGAGAAUUGCUCUCUUUUUUUCCCUACACAAAAUUAGAAUCACGUUAUAAACCAGACCAGGCGAUCAUCCGGGCUUAACUUGCGGUACAUUUUGUUGCAACCCAUUUUAUCAGAACAAAUAGGUUGACUGAAUAAUACCUUUACCACAGUGUGGGUUCAAGCAGCGCGAUCGCAGAGUUUAUAACAUGGUGCAUCUCUGUUAGUGUAUGAAGUGAAGUUCAGGUGGGAUUGCAGUGAGUUAAGGAGCAGAGCAGAGUUCUGCCAAUCAGAUUGGGCUUUGAUAAAAUGCUUCGGAUUUCUAAAGCUGUGCACUCUGGCAGCUUCACCGGACCAGCCUGCUCCGAUCUCACAUUUCUAGAAAAGUGCACAGCUUUUAAAAUCCGGCCUUUCGAGGAUGUGGAUGAGGCAAAAGGAGAAGAGAGAUAAGAGACCAAACUGAGGAAACCAUAAGUUUGGACAACUUACUUUCAAAAGUGACCCUCCUUCUCUCUGAAAGGUGUUUGAAAGAAAAAGGAUAGUAAGCGUUUUCAUAAAUGAUCCUUGGCGAGUGACAUUGUACGUGUGUGUCUAUGUGUGUGCAGGUGAGGGCCAGCGUUGAGUCACUGAGGAGCCGUAAAACCAGCAUGUAUGUGUUUGUUUUUUAGACAAACGGCGUCUCUCAUGUAGGCGCCGACCCCGCACUCACCCUCGGGCGUCGCAGCCGCCUUCCUGCGCUCUGAGUUGGAGGGUGCCAGGGCGGUCGGACCCUGCUGGUGCUCGGGAGACUUCACCAUGGCAGACAUAAUCAUCUGCUGCCGCGCCGAGGCCGGGUUUGCCGAGUUACCGUGGUCCUUAUACGGGAGAGCUGGGGAUGGAAUAAUAUUGUAGUGUGCAGCAUCCCGACAUUCGUUUGAUCAGAGUGUGCAAACCGUCGCAGCCUCACCUUCUUCUCUCAGAGACCGCAGCUCCGCCCUCAUUUUCUGCAGGGCCUCCUCCAGGUCGGAGCAGCGGGAACGCUCUUUGUCCAGAGCGAUUUUCAUGUCGCUGUACUGCAGAGGCACCGGCUGGAUGGAGGGCACGGGGGAAACCGGGCCUGGACCCUGACCCGGACCCUGACCCUGGGCCUGAGCGGCCAUGGCGGCCAAAAGGUCCUCUCGACGGCGCCCAAACAGACCCUGAGACCAAGGAAGCACAGCUGUGUUUGAAACCAUACUUUGAACCUUACUUUUCCCCUGGUUCUAUUUGGUGAUAAUUUGGUGAACUCGUCUUGAAGGAGGUUUCUUGAAGUUGUGAAUGAAUUGAUAAAAACAUGGAUGUCCU
Long non-coding RNA from Gasterosteus aculeatus aculeatus (three-spined stickleback), 6216 nucleotides. Lineage: Eukaryota; Metazoa; Chordata; Actinopteri; Perciformes; Gasterosteidae. The record is from Ensembl.